GAGGUACUGGUAAAAUCGUAUAUCACACCGCCUUGUCGAGGCCGAGUUGCGGGUUUAACCCCCGCGUAUCUUU
Molecule: transfer RNA, 73 nt
Filed under: Cyclopterus lumpus (lumpfish)
Lineage: Eukaryota; Metazoa; Chordata; Actinopteri; Perciformes; Cyclopteridae
Rfam family: tRNA
About the family: Transfer RNA (tRNA) molecules are approximately 80 nucleotides in length. Their secondary structure includes four short double-helical elements and three loops (D, anti-codon, and T loops).
Source: Rfam by way of RNAcentral